CCCUUAGAUGUUCUGGGCUGCACGCGCGCUACACUGACGAAUGCAACGAGCUUAUAACCUUGGCCGAAAGGUCUGGGUAAUCUCCAAAUUUCGUCGUGAUGGGGAUAGAUUAUUGCAAUUAUUAAUCUUCAACGAGGAAUGCCUAGUAAGCGCAAGUCAUCAGCUUGCGUUGAUUACGUCCCUGCCCUUUGUACACACCGCCCGUCGCACCUACCGAUUGAAUGGUCCGGUGAAAUCUCGGGACGGCGGCUUGGUCGCUUGCGUCCGACUGCUGAAACUUGAUUAAACCAUAUCAUUUAGAGGAAGGUGAAGUCGUAACA
Molecule: ribosomal RNA, 320 nt
Filed under: uncultured eukaryote
Lineage: Eukaryota
Description: partial 18S ribosomal RNA
Rfam family: Eukaryotic small subunit ribosomal RNA
Source: RNAcentral